Molecule: unclassified non-coding RNA, 269 nt
Filed under: uncultured fungus
Lineage: Eukaryota; Fungi
Description: partial contains small subunit ribosomal RNA, internal transcribed spacer 1, and 5.8S ribosomal RNA
Rfam family: Eukaryotic small subunit ribosomal RNA (bases 1-73)
Source: RNAcentral
CCAAACUUGGUCAUUUAGAGGAAGUAAAAGUCGUAACAAGGUUUCCGUAGGUGAACCUGCGGAAGGAUCAUUACCGAGUGCGGGCCCUUUGGGUCCAACCUCCCACCCGUGUAUACCGUACCCUGUUGCUUUGGCGGGCCGCCCUGGCGGCCCGCCGGAGACACCCACGAACGCUGUCUUGAAGAUUGCCGUCUGAGCGAAUAGCAAACAAAUUAGUUAAAACUUUCAACAACGGAUCUCUUGGUUCCGGCAUCGAUGAAGAACGCAGC